AGAAAAGAACAGCAGCUUAAUAUCUCAAAUACCUAUUAUUAUGCAAUAGUAGAUAUGCUGAUGCUGCAACAAGGAAAGGCUUUUCUUUUGAUUUUUCACAAUGGAUUUGUCCCACUACACUGGGAAUACCAUUGUUCUCAGGAUGUGCUCAACUAGGAAAGCGUUAGAUCCUAGAACAAUAUCAACAAGAAGAAUUCAUCAGACAAAUCUGACAAGAUCUCCGCAACUCAGAGAUGUUACUGCCAGACACAGAAUUUAAUACCACUGAUUAGAUUUUGAUGAAAUGCUCCGUGUUCUGCUCUGCUGAGGAAUGCCCUUGUGCUCAUGAUCUAGACAUACAAACAUCAUAGCUGGUAGUAGUGGUGAAAUGUGGAAGACGUUUACCUUAAACCUUUGUUCUUUAACCUCCUAAAAGAAGAUCUGUAUUCUUUUCCCAUUUGCAUCAUCUAUCUUCAUAGCAUUGUAUGUUUUGUAAUUUCCUUUUCUACCAGGACUUGCAUCAUGGAUUUAGGAUAUCUUAAUGAGUUUCAUACUAAAACGAACACACCUGUUCAUUGUAAAUGUUCAGUCAUAGAACCACAAAAUAUCCUGAGUUGGAAGGGACCCACAAGGAUUGAGUCCAUCUCCAGACUUCAUGAAUACCAACAUGCCUGGGGCCAUGACCACUUCCAUGAAGAUUUUGCUUCAGUGCCUGACCACCCUGUCAGUGAAGAACUUUUGACCACCAGAGAGGAGAGAUCUGAACCUCCCUCUCUGCUCUCUCUCAUGAGGAAGCUGUAGACAGCAAUGAGGUUACCCCUAAGACUCAUUUUCUCUAAGCUGAACAAACCAAUUGUGCUCAGCUGCUCCUUGUAAGUCAAACCCUCUAGUUCUUUCAUCAUUUUUGUUGCCCUCCUUUGGACAGACCGAAAUAGUACUCAAGGUGAGACUGUACCAGUGCUUAGUACGGUAGGGCAAUGACUUUUUUUCCAUUAGCUGUACUGAGCUUAAUGCACUACAGGAUAUUGUUGGUCCUUCUGGCCACCAGGACAUAUUGUUGACUCAUAUUGAGCUUAACAGGAAAGAGGAAGAAACUGGGUACAUGUAAAGUUGUUGUUUCCACUUUCCUUGAUUCCAGGAUCCUACAGAAAGAUAUAAAACUGACUGAGCUAUUUUAAAAGAUCUUUUACAUUAGAUUUGAAAUAAACUUUCAAAAAUUUUUGUUUAAACA
This 1210-nucleotide long non-coding RNA is filed under the name Anas platyrhynchos platyrhynchos (common mallard). RNAcentral describes it as "lncRNA (ENSAPLG00000018814.1)". The record is from RNAcentral. Lineage: Eukaryota; Metazoa; Chordata; Aves; Anseriformes; Anatidae.